UCCGGAACACAGUGUUUAUUCUGUGUUUAGUCACGCCGCGUCAAAAAUGUUCCACAGGGUUACUUCCGGUUUAUCGUUGUUUACCAACAGUCGACACUUCGUGUAUUAGGCCUAGGCUUAAUUUUGUCAAUCAUCAUGAAAUUGAAAUACAAAUUUAAUAGUUUGGGGUGUAUGCGGUACAUAUUUGUUUAUGAGCGUUUGAUAAGCUACUAUUGAUCUACGAAAUACAACGAAAGACUUCGUCAAGAACAGAAGAAGACGAUGCAUGUCGUGUAACUCACACAAGGCCCAGCUGUCUAGUAACCGGAGGGGUAAAGGAAAAGAACGUAUUAGACUCACUGAAACCUGUCAAACAGGUAUAUGGGAACAGGAUCAUUUUCCAUGCCUUUCACUUGAGGUCUUCAGUUUCAUCAUUAAUCAUCUGAAUGUCGGUAUGCCAAACUCUCAUGAUGUCAUGCCAUUACUGGAUAUUCCUUAACAGUGGUUUAUUUAAGCCACACUACCUAUAACAUUGCCAAAAUAUUAGACUGAAAAUUUUCAAAUACACAAGAUUUGAAGCAGCAAAAGAAAAGAAUUACAUAUGUAUAACACACAAAAAAGAAGAAAUUAAUUCUCACCUGGCUGAUAUGAACUUUUUACUCCUUUUUAGCUCCCUUUCACUGCAUACCAGCCAAUAACUAGCAGUCAUUAUAUGCAGAUCAGCCAUUGUUAUCAACCUGUGUAUAUAUAUGUUGAAUGAAAUAUGAAUGAAAA
Molecule: long non-coding RNA, 753 nt
Organism: Ostrea edulis (European flat oyster)
Lineage: Eukaryota; Metazoa; Mollusca; Bivalvia; Ostreida; Ostreidae
Exons: 2
Source: RefSeq, a predicted model, not a curated record